Molecule: transfer RNA, 76 nt
Filed under: Clostridiaceae bacterium
Lineage: Bacteria; Bacillati; Bacillota; Clostridia; Eubacteriales; Clostridiaceae
Description: tRNA-Lys
Rfam family: tRNA
About the family: Transfer RNA (tRNA) molecules are approximately 80 nucleotides in length. Their secondary structure includes four short double-helical elements and three loops (D, anti-codon, and T loops).
Source: RNAcentral
GCGCCCUUAACUCAGCCGGCAGAGUAACCGCCUUUUAAGCGGUAAGCCGCGGGUUCGAGCCCCGCAGGGCGCACCA